Molecule: long non-coding RNA, 910 nt
Organism: Helianthus annuus (common sunflower)
Lineage: Eukaryota; Viridiplantae; Streptophyta; Magnoliopsida; Asterales; Asteraceae
Exons: 3
Source: RefSeq, a predicted model, not a curated record
AAUUACAACUGGAUCAAGUGCAGAGGUGGAAGUGAGAUACACACACACUCGUUGCGUUUGCGACAGUAAAGAAGCAAUAAUGGUGAAGAGGUUCACACUGAUCCAAACCGUUGCAACCGCCGGGCUUUUCUCCGCCGUCUCCUUCUGGUAUGGGUUCAUGAUCGGCAGAGAAACUUCUCGGAAGGAGUUAGGUGAUCUUAUCGCAGAUCUUCGCCGUCAAAAUCCUGAUUCUAAUCCUCCACAAUCUUGAUUCGAGGUGCUUCGGGUUGAAGAUGGUAGCUUCAAGUAGGUUGAAUUUUGCAAAUGACUAAUAUCUUCUUGUGGCUGGGCUCUGCUACCAGCUAUUUGUGAGCUCAUUUCCCCAAAAGUGGAUCCUUGAAGGGCAAUUUGUAAUAAUUUGAAUCAUGGGUUUAUAUUGGAUUAGCCAAGUUGAUUCUGCAAAGCUAUUUGAUAGCAAUUUCAAACCUAAAUUCUUACACAAGUUAGGUGAUAGAGGUGAUUCUUAGACAUGUUUUUUUCCAGUCAUAUUUCAUGUCUGUGAAUCUGUGAUACCGCCACAUGUAGGGAUGGCAAAAAAGCCCAAGCCCGACGGGUAUAUCCGAAACCCGAAACAUACGGGCCGGGUAUACCCGAAGCCCAAUGGGUAUGGGCCGGGUACGGGCUUAAAAAUAGAAAAAUUCGGGUAUGGGUACGGGUAUGAGAUUUAGUGAUACCCGCCCGAUACUCGGCCCAUUUACCCGAAUAAUACCCGAAAGUAUCGUAUUAUAGAUUUCCAUAUAUAUAAACUUAGUACAUGUAUUUAUUACCUUCUCUAUAGUCAUAUGUGGGUAUGUGUUUGGCAAGUGUUUAGUGAACAUAUAACUUAUUUUUGAACAUGUAUAUUGGAUAUGAAAGCUAUUAUCUUUUAUUA